GCAAACUUGGUCAUUUAGAGGAAGUAAAAGUCGUAACAAGGUUUCCGUAGGUGAACCUGCGGAAGGAUCAUUACUGUUGGGGCUUCCCCAUCAAGAUGCUAUCCUUUGUUUAUAAGCACCCUUGUUUCCUCGGCAGGUCCGCCUGCCAAUGGGGACACAUUCAACCUUUUGCAAUAGCAGUUUUCUCUGAACAGAUAUAAUUAUCACAACUUUCAACAACGGAUCUCUUGGUUCUGGCAUCGAUGAAGAACGCAGC
This 256-nucleotide unclassified non-coding RNA is filed under the name uncultured fungus. Its description in RNAcentral is "partial contains small subunit ribosomal RNA, internal transcribed spacer 1, and 5.8S ribosomal RNA". The stretch from base 1 to 73 matches the Rfam family "Eukaryotic small subunit ribosomal RNA", at positions 1759 to 1831 of the family's 1831-position model. The record is from RNAcentral. Lineage: Eukaryota; Fungi.